This is a non-coding RNA of Elaeis guineensis (African oil palm), 5028 nucleotides long. The record is from RefSeq and is a predicted model, not a curated record. Lineage: Eukaryota; Viridiplantae; Streptophyta; Magnoliopsida; Arecales; Arecaceae.
CGCCGAACCGCUUCGACACGGAACCCACGUGAUACAAGCCGCCUCCUGCCUCCGCUGAUAAAAUGCUCUCCACACCUCUUUCUCUCUCCCUCUCUCGCUUUCUCUCUCCGCCUCCACCUCCUUCUUCUCCUCUCUUCUCGCUCUUCUGAUCCGUGAUUCUUCGAUCAUCUUGCAGUUGGAGGCCUGAGGAGCAUUGGUUAAGUCCUUCGUUCAGGGUAAAUCAUCAGAGGGUGUUUUUGUUAUCAUUGAGACUUUUUUUCAAGCCACUCGGUCUCAAUCUUGAAGGUCAGCACCCAUCCUUCUUUGAGUGCUAUGGAUGCCCGUGAGAGCCCUCUGCUGAUUACCUAUUUGCCUGAGAUUCUUAAUGGAGAGCCAAUUUUCAUCUCUUCAAAUUGCCUUCCUGUGAAAGCCUUCAAUUUUGAACCUGCGGGGCAUGCCUUCCAUUCUGCUGCACUUAAAUUUUUUGGUUUUUGUGAGGAAGAAGACACAGAUACAGAUGAUCAAAGCGUGUUGUCGGAUGAUAGAGGUCAAGCCUAUAUUCCAUCUUCUGAUUUCUAUAGCAGUAGAGGAAAAAAGAAGUCUGUGGCUGGAAGCAAACAGCAAGACCAUUAUGCGCUGUUAGGUUUGGGCCAUCUGCGGUUUCUAGCCACUGAAGAACAGAUAAGAAAGAGUUACCGUGAGACAGCCUUGAAGCAUCAUCCUGACAAGCAGGCUGCUCUUAUUCUUGCUGAAGAAACAGAAGAAGCAAAGCAAGCAAAAAAAGAUGAGAUCGAAAGCCAUUUUAAAGCAAUUCAAGAAGCAUAUGAGGUUCUGAUAGAUCCUGUGAAGAGAAGGAUUUAUGACUCCACUGAUGAGUUUGAUGAUGAUAUACCAACAGACUGUGCCCCACAAGACUUCUUUAAGGUCUUUGGUCCAGCAUUUAUGAGAAAUGGGAGAUGGUCCACGAAUCAGCCAAUUCCUUCUUUAGGAGAUGAGAAUACUCCUUUGAAUGAAGUGGACAGUUUCUAUAACUUUUGGUAUACUUUUAAAAGUUGGAGAGAGUUCCCGCAUGCAGAUGAAUUUGAUCUUGAACAAGCUGAGUCUCGUGAUCAUAAGAGAUGGAUGGAGAGGCAAAAUGCAAAGCUAAGGGAGAAGGCCAGGAAGGAAGAAUAUGCUCGGAUUCGGGCUCUUGUCGACAAUGCUUAUAAGAGAGAUCCAAGAAUCCUUAAGAGGAAGGAAGAGGAAAAGGCUGAAAAGAGGAGGAAAAAGGAGGCAAAGUUUCUGGCUAGAAAGUUACAGGAGGAAGAGGCAGCUAGGGCUGCAGAAGAGGAAAGAAGACUGAAAGAGGAAGAGGAGAAAAGAGCUUCAGAAGCUGCUCUAAACCAAAAAAAGUUGAAGGAAAAGGAGAAGAAGCUGUUGCGCAAAGAAAGGACUCGUUUGCGCACUCUUUCUGCAGCAGUGGUGUCAAAGAAUCUGCUUGAUCUGGCAGAAGACGAUGUGGAAAAAGUGUGCAUGACGCUUGAAAUGGAUCAGCUUAGGCAUCUGUGUGAUGAUAUGGAAAGGAAGGAGGGAAGUAAGAGGGCUCAGCUGCUAAAAGACGCACUGAGUGGAGACAGUUCCAAUGCUAUGAAACAAGAAGCAAAGAACAUGCAGCCCAAUGGCUCUCAAGACUUGGGUACAAAAACCAACGGGGUUGCAGCACAAGUAAGGUUGGACAAUCCGUUAAGCAAUUAUGAGAAGAAAGAGAAACCUUGGGAAAAGGAAGAAAUUGAGAUGCUUAGAAAAGGCAUGCAGAAGUAUCCCAAGGGGACAUCUCGGCGGUGGGAGGUUAUUUCAGACUAUAUUGGCACUGGGAGAUCGGUUGAAGAGAUUCUCAAGGCAACAAAGACUAUCCUGCUUCAGAAGCCUGACUCUUUCAAAGCUUUUGACUCGUUCCUCGAGAAAAGAAAGCCAGCCCAAGCCAUUUCUUCACCUCUGACCACAAGAAUUGAAUCAGAAGGGCUGCCUGUUGAGGGAACUCAGGAUUCAUCACCUAAAAUAGCAGCAAAGCAGCCAACAAAUACUACAAAUAACCAGAAGCCUGUAGAUGGAGUUGUUUCGGCUUUUAAUGGAGUUCCUUCUGGUACAGAACACGAUACUUGGUCCGAAACUCAAGAAAGAGCUCUUAUUCAGGCUCUGAAAACAUUCCCAAAGGACAUAAACCAACGCUGGGAGCGUGUUGCUGCAGCAGUUCCUGGGAAAACCGUGAUACAGUGCAGAAAGAAAUUUGCUCUGAUGAAGGAGAGCUUCAGAAGCAAGAAAAAUGCAGAGCAGUAGUUUCCAGUUGUAAGGCUAUCAUUCUCUUUGGCAGUAAACUUUAGCUACAUUCAUAAAAGAGAGAACUGUUUUCAUAUGACGGCUUUCAGAGAUGCUGCUACAGUAAAAAGAGGGCUUAAUUUUUGUUUGAUUAGCUGAUGCAGUGGUUACUUUACUCCACUUGCAGUUAAGGCAUCUUGUUUAUUUUCUUGGAAUUGCUUCAUCGUGCUGAGGGACAUUGAAGCAGCUGGUGCAUUCUUGUAAAUGGAGAUAUAUUUGCUGGCUUUAUACAAGCGACAGCGACAUAGAUCUCUUUUUAGCUAAAGCUUUCAAGAUAUGAUAUCAUGGCGUCAAAGUUCUGAACAUUCUGCUUCUUUCUGGCAAAAAUGAGCAAGGUCUAGAAUGGAAUAUAAAUUUCAUGCCAGACUAAUCAACUUUUCAAGAUUUAUGUUUUGGUUAACUCAGGUACAUGGCAUCUGGUUCAGUGUUGGCUUGACAGAGGUCUUAUUUUACUUCUGAACUCUGUCACAAUUAUGGUAGUGACAUCAGCACUAAAAAUUCUGUUCUGGUUGAUUAUUAGCACUUUAUUGAGGUACAUGUCUAUGAUAUUUCUGUUAUGCAUUGAACAAAUAUUUCACAGGUAACCAGUUGUGUGAUAAGUGAAUCACAUUAUCAGUAUCUUGGGGCCACAUGACAAUUUGCUGACCUUGUGGCAUUUUCUUCAGUGCUGGCUUGGCAUGGUUCCUAUUUUACUGCCGAACUCCAUAACAGAUAUGGUUGUGUCAUCAGUACUAAAAGUCAUCUUUUCUGACUGACUAUUGGCAUUAUAUUGAGGUGCAUAUAUACAAUGUUUUACACAUCACACUAAUGUAUUUCACAGGUAACUUGUUUUGCAGCAUCAACAAGGCAUGCUAAUCUUCUUGACUUCAUUUUCUCUUGCACAAUAAUUGAUGCCCAGGGCAGGUUGAAUAAUGAAUUCUGAUGGUUGCUUCAGUCUGCAUAGCCUUAAUGUUUUGAUAUUUUUACACCCCAGAUACAUAACCUUGAUUAUUUUUGGUGAACUGAUUUGUUCUAUUGUAGGUUAUGUAUUACUCUUACGUAUGUUAUGGGUAAUCUGCUGUACGGGGCCAGGACAGGUUGAAUAAUUGUGACAGUCACUUCAGUCUGCAUAACAUAAUAGUUUUGAUAUUUUAUACCCGUAACAUGUAAGCUUGAUUAUUUUAGGUGGGCCGGUUUGUUCUAUUGUAUGCGAUGCAUUGCUUGUGUAAAUCACAAGUAAAAUUAUUGGGUGGGAUUAGCAAGUCAUGAUGAUCCUAUUGACUUCCUUUGCACAACGAUUGAUAUUGAGGGGCCAGGACGGGCUGAAUAAUGAGUUGUGAUCAUCACUUAGCCUGCAUAACCUGAAUGUUUUGAUAUUUUUAUACCCCUGGUAUGCAACCUUGAUUAUUUUAGGCGGACUGGUUUGUUUAUUGUAGGUUAUCCGUUACUCUUUAUGUAUUUUGUGGGUCAAUUGGUGGGUGGGAUUAGCAAGUCAUGAUAGCGUAUUCACUUCAUUUAAUACCUUGGGGCCAUGACAGGUUGAAUUAUGAGUUGUGAUCGUUACGUCAGUCUGCAUUGCCUGAAUUUUUUGAUAAUUUUUUGUGCCCCUGAUUUGUAACCUUGAUUGUUUUAGAUAGAUUGGUUUGUUAUGCGUUACUCCUGCAUGUUUCACAGGUGAACUGUUGUGUGGGGUUUGCAGGUCAUGAUAAUCCUAUUGACUUCUCUUGCACAAUGACUGAUACCCGAGGGCAACAUAGGUUGAAUAAUGAGUUGUGAUUGUCACUCUGGUUUGCAUAGCCUGAAUGUUUGAUAAUUUUAUACCCCUAAUAUGCGACCUUGGUUAUUUUAGGUGGAUUGGUUGUUCAUUGUAGGUUAUGCAUUACUCUUACAUAUUUUGCGGUUAAAUUGCUACGUGGGAUUAGCCAGUCAUGAUAGUCCUCCCAUGUACCUCAUUCUCUCGCACACAACAAUUGAUAUACAGGAGCCAGGACAAGUUGAUUGAUGAGUUGUGAAGUUGUGAUCGUCACUUCAAUCUACAUAGCCAGAAGCAUGUUCAGUGCACGUUGGUUAUGAAAAUAGGGAUAUGGUAAUUGAGUCGCUCGUGCUGGACACACGUGCGUGAACACCUGCUUAUAAGUCGCCCAUAUCCGCAAGGCUUGGCAUGCGUGGGCAUCGAUUUGGUGGACGGUACGUCUUGACCAGCUGGCGAGGAGGAGGGCUACGUGGCAUCUUGUUAUUCCAUCUACUCGGGGGACCUCAAGCCAUGCUGUCCACAGAAUCCGCAUCCAGAGAAAAUUAUCAACCAAAGCACGAAUCUCUAAUUCCAUUUGAAUGUGUUUAGCAUCCUCAGCCAAAGCGCGAAUCUCAUGCAGUGGAUACGGAACGUGAACUUGAUCCCAUCUUCCAAAUUCCAGGCACCCAACACUCCCACGCUCACCAACCGUUCCACACUUGUCUUGGUGCGUAACAGCGUACAACGAGCAAGGCCUACUCUCCCCUCCCUUUCUUCCUCAUCCGUUUGGCCGACACCCUGUAUUGAAUUGUUAACUUCUUGUUGUCUAAUCAUUUACAUCUUUCUGACUUUUCCUGUCUGUAAGUAGAAUCUGCUGUAACUACAAUAGCAAUGGAUGUUUUAGUGGUCCGCUUCUUUCUUUUCUCUUUCUUCUUGUAUAAGCUUUCUCAUUUUAUUUGGACAAAUCCUAGGUCCAUGUAACA